This 68-nucleotide transfer RNA is filed under the name Sphoeroides pachygaster (blunthead puffer). RNAcentral describes it as "tRNA-Pro". It matches the Rfam family "tRNA". From Rfam's summary of the family: Transfer RNA (tRNA) molecules are approximately 80 nucleotides in length. The record is from RNAcentral. Lineage: Eukaryota; Metazoa; Chordata; Actinopteri; Tetraodontiformes; Tetraodontidae.
CAAAAAGUAGUUUAUCAGAAUGCUAGCUUUGGGAGCCAGUGGUGGAGGUUAAAGUCCUUCCUUUUUGA